AGAGUUUGAUCCUGGCUCAGGAUGAACGCUGGCGGCGUGCUUAACACAUGCAAGUCGAACGAACCUUCGGGUUAGUGGCGGACGGGUGAGUAACGCGUGGGAAUCUGCCCUCAGGAGGGGGAUAACGGUUGGAAACGGCCGCUAAUACCCCAUAUGCCGAGAGGUGAAAUGAAUUUCGCCUGAGGAUGAGCCCGCGUCUGAUUAGCUAGUUGGUGAGGUAAGAGCUCACCAAGGCAUCGAUCAGUAGCUGGUCUGAGAGGAUGAUCAGCCACACUGGGACUGAGACACGGCCCAGACUCCUACGGGAGGCAGCAGUGGGGAAUUUUCCGCAAUGGGCGAAAGCCUGACGGAGCAACGCCGCGUGAGGGAUGAAGGCCUCUGGGCUGUAAACCUCUUUUAUCAAGGAAGAAGAUCUGACGGUACUUGAUGAAUAAGCCACGGCUAAUUCCGUGCCAGCAGCCGCGGUAAUACGGGAGUGGCAAGCGUUAUCCGGAAUUAUUGGGCGUAAAGCGUCCGCAGGCGGUUUUGUAAGUCUGUUGUUAAAGCGUGGAGCUUAACUCCAUUUCAGCAAUGGAAACUGCAAGACUAGAGUGUGGUAGGGGCAGAGGGAAUUCCCGGUGUAGCGGUGAAAUGCGUAGAUAUCGGGAAGAACACCAGUGGCGAAGGCGCUCUGCUGGGCCAUAACUGACGCUCAUGGACGAAAGCCAGGGGAGCGAAAGGGAUUAGAUACCCCUGUAGUCCUGGCCGUAAACGAUGAACGUGUCGGGGGAAUCGACCCCCUCGGUGUCGUAGCCAACGCGUUAAGUGUUCCGCCUGGGGAGUACGCACGCAAGUGUGAAACUCAAAGGAAUUGACGGGGGCCCGCACAAGCGGUGGAGUAUGUGGUUUAAUUCGAUGCAACGCGAAGAACCUUACCAGGGUUUGACAUCCUGCGAACCCCUUGGAAACGAGGGGGUGCCUUCGGGAGCGCAGAGACAGGUGGUGCAUGGCUGUCGUCAGCUCGUGUCGUGAGAUGUUGGGUUAAGUCCCGCAACGAGCGCAACCCACGUCGUUAGUUGCCAGCAUUUAGUUGGGCAAGAAAGACUGCCGGUGACAAACCGGAGGAAGGUGAGGAUGACGUCAAGUCAGCAUGCCCCUUAUGUCCUGGGCCACACACGUGCUACAAUGGUAAAGACAAAGAGUCGCCAAUUCGCGAGAAUGAGCUAAUCUCAUAAACUUUAUCUAAGUUCGGAUUGUAGGCUGCAACUCGCCUACAUGAAGUUGGAAUCGCUAGUAAUCGCAGGUCAGCUAUACUGCGGUGAAUUCGUUCCCGGGCCUUGUACACACCGCCCGUCACACCAUGGGAGCUGGUCAUGCCCGAAACCGUUUGCUUAACCUUUUGGAGAGCGACGUCUAAGGUAGGGCUAGUGACUGGGGUGAAGUCGUAACAAGGUAACC
Molecule: ribosomal RNA, 1437 nt
Filed under: uncultured prokaryote
Description: partial 16S ribosomal RNA
Rfam family: Bacterial small subunit ribosomal RNA
Source: RNAcentral